AGACCCGAAACCCGGUGAUCUAGCCAUGGGCAGGUUGAAGGUUGGGUAACACUAACUGGAGGACCGAACCGACUAAUGUUGAAAAAUUAGCGGAUGACCUGUGGCUGGGGGUGAAAGGCCAAUCAAACCGGGAGAUAGCUGGUUCUCCCCGAAAGCUAUUUAGGUAGCGCCUCGUGAAUUCAUCUCCGGGGGUAGAGCACUGUUUCGGCUAGGGGGCCAUCCCGGCUUACCAACCCGAUGCAAACUGCGAAUACCGGAGAAUGUUAUCACGGGAGACACACGGCGGGUGCUAACGUCCGUCGUGAAGAGGGAAACAACCCAGACCGCCAGCUAAGGUCCCAAAGUCAUGGUUAAGUGGGAAACGAUGUGGGAAGGCCCAGACAGCCAGGAUGUUGGCUUAGAAGCAGCCAUCAUUUAAAGAAAGCGUAAUAGCUCACUGGUCGAGUCGGCCUGCGCGGAAGAUGUAACGGGGCUAAACCAUGCACCGAAGCUGCGGCAGCGAACGUAUCACUUAAAGCGAUUCAGCGGGUUACGAUUGACGGAGCGAAGCGACGUCAAAGCGUAUACAAAGUCGAGUCGGUUUAAGGAUACGUUCGUUGGGUAGGGGAGCGUUCUGUAAGCCUGUGAAGGUGUGUCGUGAGGCAUGCUGGAGGUAUCAGAAGUGCGAAUGCUGACAUAAGUAACGAU
RNAcentral lists this ribosomal RNA (687 nucleotides) under Salmonella enterica. RNAcentral describes it as "partial 23S ribosomal RNA". It matches the Rfam family "Bacterial large subunit ribosomal RNA", at positions 711 to 1313 of the family's 2925-position model. Lineage: Bacteria; Pseudomonadati; Pseudomonadota; Gammaproteobacteria; Enterobacterales; Enterobacteriaceae. The record is from RNAcentral.